This 395-nucleotide long non-coding RNA is filed under the name Canis lupus familiaris (dog). RNAcentral's name for it is "lncRNA (ENSCAFG00000046376.2, ENSCAFG00805020271.1, ENSCAFG00845024991.1)". Lineage: Eukaryota; Metazoa; Chordata; Mammalia; Carnivora; Canidae. The record is from RNAcentral.
GGAAACUGUAUAUUCAGUUGAUCUGAGAGAACAACUAGGGCAAUAUUAAUCAGAGGAACUUUGAGUAUGAUCCCUUCUUCUAUUUAAGUGCCCAGUGUGACUUCACAAUCUGUAGUUAAAGCCACAGUCACAGCAAGGGGACAUAAGGCUCUUGUUUUAUAAAGGAAAACACUUUAAAAAGGAAAUGAAUGGACAAUAAUACAUGUCCUUUGCUGGCUGGAAUGAUGGAUGGGCUCCAAGAAGAAAUAACCAAUGUCCACAAUAGGCUGGUGAUAAUAAUCCUACUACCAUAUACUCAGUGAGACUGUGCAUCUCAGAGGAGGAAACAUGUCUAGUUUGGUAUCCAGCAAGACAAACAUCUUCAUGAUUAGAAGAAAAUGAGUUAAGUACAGUCA